Molecule: ribosomal RNA, 603 nt
Filed under: uncultured Dechloromonas sp.
Lineage: Bacteria; Pseudomonadati; Pseudomonadota; Betaproteobacteria; Rhodocyclales; Azonexaceae
Description: bacterial SSU rRNA
Rfam family: Bacterial small subunit ribosomal RNA
Source: RNAcentral
GGACCCGCACAAGCGGUGGAUGAUGUGGAUUAAUUCGAUGCAACGCGAAAAACCUUACCUACCCUUGACAUGUCCAGAAGCUCUUAGAGAUUUGAGUGUGCCCGAAAGGGAACUGGAACACAGGUGCUGCAUGGCUGUCGUCAGCUCGUGUCGUGAGAUGUUGGGUUAAGUCCCGCAACGAGCGCAACCCUUGUCGUUAAUUGCCAUCAUUUAGUUGGGCACUUUAACGAGACUGCCGGUGACAAACCGGAGGAAGGUGGGGAUGACGUCAAGUCCUCAUGGCCCUUAUGGGUAGGGCUUCACACGUCAUACAAUGGUCGGUACAGAGGGUUGCCAAGCCGCGAGGUGGAGCCAAUCCCAGAAAGCCGAUCGUAGUCCGGAUCGUAGGCUGCAACUCGCCUGCGUGAAGUCGGAAUCGCUAGUAAUCGCGGAUCAGCAUGUCGCGGUGAAUACGUUCCCGGGUCUUGUACACACCGCCCGUCACACCAUGGGAGCGGGUUCCGCCAGAAGUAGGUAGCCUAACCGCAAGGAGGGCGCUUACCACGGCGGGGUUCGUGACUGGGGUGAAGUCGUAACAAGGUAGCCGUAGGGGAACCUGCGGCU